UUCCGGUUGAUCCUGCCGGAGGCCAUUGCUAUUGGAGUCCGAUUUAGCCAUGCUAGUCGCACGAGUUCAGACUCGUGGCACAUAGCUCCGUAACACGUGGCCAAACUACCCUCCAGACGCGAAUAACCUCGGGAAACUGAGGCUAAUCCGCGAUACGGUACCCCACCUGGAAUGAGGGAUAUCUCAACCGCUCCGGCGCUGGAGGAUGUGGCUGCGGCCGAUUAGGUAGACGGUGGGGUAACGGCCCACCGUGCCGAUAAUCGGUACGGGUUGUGAGAGCAAGAACCCGGAGACGGAAUCUGAGACAAGAUUCCGGGCCCUACGGGGCGCAGCAGGCGCGAAACCUUUACACUGCACGCCAGUGCGAUAAGGGGACUCCAAGUGCGAGGGCAUAUAGCCCUCGCUUUUCUGAACCGUAGGGAGGUUCACGAAUAAGUGCUGGGCAAGACCGGUGCCAGCCGCCGCGGUAAUACCGGCAGCACGAGUGAUGGCCGAUCUUAUUGGGCCUAAAGCGUCCGUAGCUGGCCGACCAAGUCCAUCGGGAAAUCCACCCGCUCAACGGGUGGGCGUCCGGUGGAAACUGGCCGGCUUGGAACCGGAAGACCCAACGGGUACGUCUGGGGUAGGAGUGAAAUCCCGUAAUCCUGGACGGACCGCCGAUGGCGAAAGCACGUUGGGAAGACGGAUUCGACAGUGAGGGACGAAAGCUCGGGUCUCGAACCGGAUUAGAUACCCGGGUAGUCCGAGCCGUAAACGAUGUCCACUAGGUGUGGCACAGGCUACGAGCCUGUGCUGUGCCAUAGGGAAGCCGCUAAGUGGACCGCCUGGGAAGUACGUCCGCAAGGAUGAAACUUAAAGGAAUUGGCGGGGGAGCACUACAACCGGAGGAGCCUGCGGUUUAAUUGGACUCAACGCCGGU
RNAcentral lists this ribosomal RNA (919 nucleotides) under uncultured archaeon. RNAcentral describes it as "bacterial SSU rRNA". It matches the Rfam family "Archaeal small subunit ribosomal RNA", at positions 1 to 922 of the family's 1478-position model. The record is from RNAcentral.